Molecule: regulatory RNA element, 96 nt
Organism: Filifactor alocis ATCC 35896
Lineage: Bacteria; Bacillati; Bacillota; Clostridia; Peptostreptococcales; Filifactoraceae
Rfam family: THF (Tetrahydrofolate) riboswitch aptamer
About the family: THF riboswitch presents a pseudoknot that joins P1-P2 and the loop of P3 and two THF binding.
Source: Rfam
GGCAGAGUAGGAAAAGUGCGUUAAGUGCCAUAGGAUGGGAUGUUGCCUAUGGACGAAAAGAGAAUUUUCUUGCGGUACUUUUUUGCAUCCACUGUU